AUGUACCACGAGCUCGUCGCCGCAACGAGCAACUUCGCGGAGGAGGAGAAACUCGGGCGAGGCGGCUUCGGGAGCGUUUACCGAGGUCAUCUCACACUCACGCACGCAGCCGCGGUCGGUGGUGACCAGGACCGUCGUGCUGUGGCGGUGAAGGUGCUGUCGGCAGAGUCGUCGUCCCAGGGGAGGAAGGAGUUCGAGGCAGAGGUGAGGAUCAUAAGCAGACUGAAGCAUCGCAACCUUGUACAACUGCUGGGUUGGUGCGACAGCCGCAAGGGGCUCCUGCUUGUCUACGAGCUUGUUGCGGAGGGCAGCCUAGACAGGCACCUCUACAACAACGAUGACAGCUAUCUGACAUGGCCACAGAGGUACAACAUCAUCCUUGGCUUGGGAUCUGCGUUACGCUACCUCCACGGAGAGUGGGAGCAGUGCAUCCUCCAUGGUGACAUCAAGCCGAGCAACAUCAUGCUCGACUCGUCGCUCAGCACCAAGCUCGGGGACUUCGGGUUGGCCCGCCUCAUCGACCAUGGCGCUCGGUCAGUGCAUACCACUAAGGCUGUGCUCGGCACUGUCGGGUACAUCGACCCGGAGUUUGUCAACACGCGCCGACCGUGCACCGAGUCCGACGUGUACAGCUUCGGUGUCGUCCUCCUGGAGAUCGUCUCCGGCCGCCGGCCGGUGAUCGAGACUGUUGAGACUUCCUUCACGCUGCUCAGCUGGGUGUGGAACCUGUACGGAAGGGACGUGAUCCUUGAUGCGGCGGAUGAGCGGCUGAGGGGCGACGAGGCGGACGAGCGGUGGAUGGAGCGAGUACUUGUCGUUGGGCUCUGGUGCGCGCACCCGGACCGGAGCGAGCGGCCAUCCAUGGCGCAGGCCAUGCACGUCCUGCAGUCCGACGAGGCGAGGCUGCCGACGCUCCCACGGCACAUGUACAGGGCUGCACAGGAUCUUGCGUCGUACGGGUCUUUCUCCGUUGACAGCUCAGGCUCCGGUUGUGUUCGCUCUUCUUCGGUCAGCACCGGCAACACCACUGUUUCUUCCGAGUCGUCCUCGACCGCGCUGCUACGACAUUCCAAGGAUCAAGUUAAUUGA
Molecule: ribosomal RNA, 1089 nt
Filed under: Triticum aestivum (bread wheat)
Lineage: Eukaryota; Viridiplantae; Streptophyta; Magnoliopsida; Poales; Poaceae
Description: partial small subunit ribosomal RNA
Source: RNAcentral